Molecule: non-coding RNA, 58 nt
Filed under: Syntrophorhabdus sp.
Lineage: Bacteria; Pseudomonadati; Thermodesulfobacteriota; Syntrophorhabdia; Syntrophorhabdales; Syntrophorhabdaceae
Source: RNAcentral
AGGCGAAACACCCCUUCGGGGGUGUCACCGGAUGAUAUCCGGUCUGAUGAGCCUCAGG